GGGGCUGUAGCUCACUGGUAGAGCGCCCACCUUACACAUGUAAGGCACUGGUUCAAUCCUCAGCUCCA
Molecule: transfer RNA, 68 nt
Filed under: Ictidomys tridecemlineatus (thirteen-lined ground squirrel)
Lineage: Eukaryota; Metazoa; Chordata; Mammalia; Rodentia; Sciuridae
Description: Spermophilus tridecemlineatus (thirteen-lined ground squirrel) tRNA
Rfam family: tRNA
About the family: Transfer RNA (tRNA) molecules are approximately 80 nucleotides in length. Their secondary structure includes four short double-helical elements and three loops (D, anti-codon, and T loops). Further hydrogen bonds mediate the characteristic L-shaped molecular structure. tRNAs have two regions of fundamental functional importance: the anti-codon, which is responsible for specific mRNA codon recognition, and the 3' end, to which the tRNAs corresponding amino acid is attached (by aminoacyl-tRNA synthetases). tRNAs cope with the degeneracy of the genetic code in two manners: having more than one tRNA (with a specific anti-codon) for a particular amino acid; and 'wobble' base-pairing, i.e. permitting non-standard base-pairing at the 3rd anti-codon position.
Source: Rfam by way of RNAcentral